Populus trichocarpa (black cottonwood) is the source of this 5876-nucleotide RNA transcript. RefSeq lists it as uncharacterized. Lineage: Eukaryota; Viridiplantae; Streptophyta; Magnoliopsida; Malpighiales; Salicaceae. The record is from RefSeq and is a predicted model, not a curated record. The transcript is spliced from 5 exons.
CUAUCCUUUUGCCGUCUCUCUCUCUCCCUUUUUUCUUAUUUUAGGUUUAUUUCUCCUCGAUACUCUCUCUCUAGAUUCUCGAUUUUCUCUCUCUAAAUCGAAGCGGGGUCCCGAGUUUUUCUCUCAAUUUAACGGAUCCGGAGAUAUAAUUGGAUCGUUUGGUGGAAGGAAUCGCAGUUAGUUUCCGAUUAGGGAAAAAAAAGAAAUUAGGGUUUAGAUUAGCUAAUGGUGAAUUGAAGAAGCUAGGGUUUGUUUUACCGGAUCUAUAUAGAAUCGGUUGAUUAAGCGAAGACAGAAGUUUGGAUUUUGGGUUUUAUUUCUUGGAAGGAGAGUGGUGGAUUGAUGGUACUCGAGGGGGAAAAUGCAAGGCUAUGCUGCAUGGAAGGGAAGGUGAGGAGAGGAAAAAGGAUCAUCGGCACAUGUGGACAGGUCCCACACGUGGUAAUUCUGCUGUAGCUGGUGAUGAUGUUUCUAAUUCGUUUUUCAAGGAUGGACGCAAGAUCAGUGUUGGAGACUGUGCUUUGUUCAAACCACCCCAGGACUCCCCGCCAUUCAUUGGAAUAAUUCGUUGGCUGACUAACGGUAAAGAGAACAAGUUAAAGUUAGGUGUAAAUUGGCUUUAUCGACCUGCUGAAGUAAAGCUUGGCAAAGGCAUCCUAUUGGAAGCUGUGCCAAACGAAAUAUUCUAUUCCUUUCAUAAGGAUGAAAUUCCUGCUGCAUCAUUACUCCAUCCGUGUAAAGUUGCGUUCCUUCCCAAAGGUGUUGAACUUCCAUCAGGGAUUUGCUCAUUUGUGUGCCGGCGAGUUUAUGACGUUACGAACAAGUGUUUAUGGUGGCUAACUGAUCAGGAUUAUAUUAAUGAACGUCAAGAGGAAGUAGAUCACUUAUUGGAUAAGACACGCUUAGAAAUGCAUGCAACAGUGCAACCAGGUGGACGCUCUCCAAAGCCAGUGAAUGGACCAACAUCAACAUCUCAGUUAAAACCUGUUUCAGAUAGUGUACAGAAUAGUGUUUCAUCCUUUUCUUCUUAUGGUAAGGGAAAGAAAAGAGAAAGGGGCGAUCAGGGCUCUGAGCCUGUGAAACGAGAGCGCUUUACAAAAAUGGAUGAUGGGGAUUCUGGCCAUAGUAGACCAGAAAGCAUGUGGAAAUCUGAGGUUUCUAAAUUUACAGAAAAAGGAGGACUUGUGGAUUCUGAAGGGGUUGAGAAAUUGGUGCAUAUAAUGCUCCCUGAGAGAAAUGAGAAAAAAAUAGACUUGGUUGGUCGGUCAAUUCUCGCUGGUGUGGUAGCAGCCACUGAUAAGUUUGAAUGCCUAAAUCAGUUUGUGCAGCUUAGAGGCUUGCCGGUGUUUGAUGAAUGGCUGCAGGAGGUCCAUAAAGGGAAGAUUGGUGAUGGUAGCCCCAAGGAUGGUGAUAAAUCAGUUGAGGAAUUUCUGGUAGUUUUACUUCGGGCACUCGAUAAGCUCCCUGUAAAUCUUCAUGCUCUGCAAAUGUGUAAUAUUGGCAAAUCUGUGAAUCUUCUGCGCACCCAUAAGAACUUGGAAAUACAGAAGAAAGCGAGGAGCUUAGUUGACACAUGGAAGAAACGUGUUGAGGCGGAAAUGGAUGCAAAUGCAAAGUCUGCCUCUAACCAAGGUGUCUCAUGGCCUGCUAGAUCACGUCUUUCUGAAGUUCCUCAUGGUGGGAACAGACAAUCUGGUGUAUCCUCUGAGGUUGCAAUGAAGAGCUCAGUUGUGCAACUCUCUGCUUCGAAAACUGGUUCGGUCAAGGCUGUACAGGGGGAUACUGUUACCAAGUCCGCAUCAACAUCCCCUGGACCUGUAAGAUCGACAACUUCACCUGGAUCAGUGGGUAAUAACUCAAAGGAAACACAACCCCGAAACACUGGUGCGAGUGCUGCCUCCGAUCCAUCUCCAACAGUAGCAAGGGAUGAGAAAAGCAGCAGUUCUAGCCCGUCCCACAACAAUAGUCAAUCCUGUUCCAGUGACCAUGCCAAAACUGGGGGGUUUUCUGGAAAGGAGGAUGCAAGGAGCUCGACUGCUGGUUCAAUGACGGCAAAUAAGAUCAUUGUUGGUUCUUUGCGGCAUCGUAAAUCAGUCAAUGGCUUUCCAGGCCAAGCUCUAUCUGGUGUCCAAAAGGAAACUGGGUCGAGCAGAAAUUCUUCUUUGCACAGAAAUUCAGGUUCAGAAAAAUUGUCACAUUCCAGUUUGACAUGUGAGAAGGCACUUGAUGUUCCCAUGACAGAGGGGAAUGGCCAUAAAUUUAUUGUUAAAAUUCCCAACAGAGGUCGCAGUCCGGCACAAAGUUCCAGUGGAGGAACUUUCGAAGACGCAUCAGUCAUGAAUAGCAGAGCUUCUUCUCCUGUGAUUUCGGAGAGGCAUGACCAGUUUGAUCAUAAUUUGAAGGAAAAAAAUGAUUCAUAUCGAGCUAACAUUACAUCUGAUGUUAAGACUGAGUCGUGGCAAAGCAAUGAUUUCAAAGAGGUGCUUACCGGAUCAGAUGAGGGAGUUGGGUCGCCUGCCACUGUUCCUGAUGAAGAGCAUGGUCGGAUAGGUGAUGAUGGUAGAAAAUCAGGUGAAGUCUCAAAAGCUACACCUACUUCAACUGUGUGUGAACAUAAAUUGGGGAAGUUGAAUGAUGCUUCUUUCAGCUCCAUGAAUGCUUUGAUUGAAAGUUGUGCAAAGUACUCUGAAGGAAAUGCAUCAUUGUCAGUUGGUGAUGAUGGUGGUAUGAAUCUCCUUGCUAGUGUAGCUGCUGGGGAGAUGUCCAAGUCUGAUAUGGUUUCACCGACAGGUUCUCCAAGGAGAAACAUGCCUAUCGAGCAUCCCUGUGUGCCAAGUGGUUUGAGAGCAAAAUCCUCUCCAUGUGAUGAUCCUGCUCAAAGCCAAGGUAAGCCUGUUGAUGGUGUUGAUUAUGAAGAUGAGAAGCGGGGUAUUACUGUUGGUACUUCACUGUCCAAGAACACAGAGGCUAAAACAGUUUUGUUUUCGCAAGAAAAAAGCACAGGGGAGCUCAAUGGACCUCCUAAUUCUUCCCAUGUGGAUGUGCAGCAAACUGCCAAACCAUGCCUAGAAAGCUAUUUGAAAUCAGAGGAAACAUUAGUAGCUGCUGUGUCCUCUGCUAGCACAGCAGUGAAAACAUCAAAUUGUGGGGGCAAAGAACCGUGGGAGAAAGAGGAUGGUGGCAGAUCAAAUGUAGAUGGCAUAUCUGAUGACAAAGAAAAGUUGCAUGGUUCUGUCUUUAAUGAUAUCAACAAUACAGGAGUGCAAGUUGCGAUUGAAGCAAUGGAAGGAUCAUCAUCAAACCAUCGUGUAGAGUUUGAUGCUGAGAACAAGAAAAAUAUAAAUAAAGAGCUGAACAUUUCUAUUAAGGCAGAGCCAGCACCACCUGCUAUUAUGCUGUCUGAUUUUGCAAAAGGAACAAUUAAUGAAGUGCUCCAACCUUCUAGUUCUGGUAAGGAUAUGGAUUCUGAAAACUUGCAUGAGGUGAAGGCUGGUGAAACAGAUGGCAGGAGUCAUUCUACAGAGAAAAAUAAAAUUGAAAAUGAAAGUAAUACAGCAUCAGCUGCCACUGAUCAUGAAGGUGAGUGCAAAGUGGAGAGCCUGGGAGGUAAUCAGGUCGAUGAGCAAUGUAGUACCGGACCAGCUGCCCACAAGGCAGCACCCAUACUUUUUCAGGCACCAGAACAAAUAGUAAGGUCAACAGAGUCGAAGUUUGCUGGCACUGGAACUGAUGAAACUGAGGAAUGUACAUCUGAUGCUGCUGAGGCUUCUUCUUUAUCUGCUGCAGGGGGAUCGGAUCUGGAAGCAAAAGUUGAAUUUGAUCUGAAUGAAGGCUUUAUUUCUGAUGAUGGGAAAUAUGGGGAGUCGAGUGACUUGAGAGCACCUGGAUGCUCUUCUGCGAUUCAGCUAGUUAGCCCUUUGCCCUUACCUGUUUCUUCUGUGUCUAGUGGGCUUCCUGCUUCCAUUACAGUAGCUGCCGCUGCAAAAGGGCCCUUUGUUCCACCAGAGGAUUUACUUAAGAGUAGACGGGAGCUUGGUUGGAAGGGAUCGGCAGCCACAAGUGCAUUUCGGCCAGCUGAACCUAGAAAAGCUUUGGAGAUUCCAUUAGGUACAGCUAAUAUCUCACUACCUGAUGCAAUGGUUUCCAAGCCUGGUCGCCCCCUGUUAGAUAUUGACUUGAAUGUUCCUGAUGAAAGAAUCCUUGAGGAUUUGGCUUCACGAAGUUCUGCUCAGGAGGCAGUUUCUGUUUCUGACCUUGCAAAGAACAAUGAUUGUGCACGUGAUGCACUGAUGGGUUCAAUAUCUGUUCGAAGCUCUGGGGGACUUGAUCUUGAUUUGAAUAGAGCAGAUGAAGCUAGUGAUAUUGGUAAUCACUUAACAAGCAUUGGCCGGAGGCUGGAUGCCCCACUACAUCCCGCCAAAUCAUCUGGUGGUUUUCUAAACGGAAAGGUUGGUGGUUGCUGGGACUUUGAUUUGAAUGAUGGCCCUCUUGUCGAUGAGGUGAGUGCCGAACCAUCACAACUUGGGCGGCAUACCCAAAACAUUGUGCCAUCCCAACCAUCCAUUUCUAGCCUUCGAAUGAACAGUACAGAAAUGGGAAACUUCCCCUCCUGGUUUCCUCAAGGGAAUCCGUAUCCUGCUGUCACAAUCCAAUCUAUCUUGCAUGAUAGAGGAGAGCAGCCUUUCCCUAUAGUUGCAACUGGUGGGCCUCAACGGAUCUUGGCUUCCUCUACUGGCAGCAACCCAUUUAAUCCUGAUGUCUACAGGGGAGCAGUGUUGUCGUCCUCUCCAGCAGUGCCAUUUCCAUCUACUCCUUUUCAGUAUCCUGUCUUUCCUUUUGGGACCAGCUUCCCUCUUCCCUCAGCUACAUUUUCAGGUGGUUCAGCAUCGUAUGUGGAUUCAUCAUCUGGUGGGAGGCUUUGCUUUCCCACAGUACCUUCUCAAGUAGUAGCGCAAGUUGGUGUGGUCUCAUCCCAUUAUCCAAGGCCUUAUGCUGUUAACCUCCCAGACAGUAACAAUAAUGGUGCUGUGGAGAGCAGUAGGAAAUGGGUAAGGCAGGGUCUAGAUCUCAAUGCCGGGCCUCUAGGUGCAGAUAUUGAAGGUAGAAAUGAGACCUCAGCUCUUGCAUCGAGGCAGCUGUCUGUUGCCAGUUCACAAGCCCAUGCAGAGGAGCUAUCGAGGAUGUAUCAGGCGACUAGUGGAGGUUUUCUUAAGAGGAAGGAACCAGAGGGUGGAUGGGAUGGUUAUAAGCAAUCCUCCUGGCAGAAGGGAUGAAUAAUGACACAAUGCAGUGAUCCACCUUUCUCCUGGUUGGAUGUUGGCUAACUCCAAAAGAUCGUCUAACUUUGUGAUCUCAAGGAUGGGUGGUAAGUGAGUUAUUUGAUGUUCAGUCUCCGACCCCCACCCUGUCGCUUUACCCAUUGCGCCUUACAAGAAAUCUGUCCGGGGUUGUUGAGCUGUUAUUUCCUUGAAUUUGAACUGGGUGGCUGCAGUUCACUUUCCUCUUUGUAGAUAUUUUAACCAAUGGAAAGCGUGCAUUCUGUGACUGUUGCCCAGACAUUCGAAAUUGGUGUCCAUACUGUUGUCCAGUGCAUCGACAAUUUAUACUGCUGGGUGCAAAACCAUCCUUCCUUUUCCAACCAUUUUGAGAAUGAAUGGUGAUUGGAUUAGUAAACUGCUUUAAGCAGAAGCCCUUUUGUACGUGCUUUGUUGUUAAGGAAUCUUUCUUCAUUUAUCUUUUCAUUCUCUCUUUAAUCACAUACAUAUAAGCAGAGUGGUCCGUGAAUUUUGGUGCUGAAGCCUUUCUUGCACUGGCAUGUGGUUUAGUUGACAAUGGUUGGAUGCUGUAUUCCUUUUAAUUUAUUCUAUUUUUUUUAA